CCCUCCUGGUGGGCGCGCGCACCUGCCGCCGGCUGCCCGCGUCUCGCGUCCCGCAUCCCGGUGGCGCUCACCGGCCAGCGCGGCACGUCCCUACCUGCGGUGACCGGGUAGAUGGGGGACCUCAAUCCCUACAGCACAGCGCCCAGAAAUUAGACAACUUGCGCAGCCAACAGACGCUUCCAACAGCCUGGCUCCUUGGCUCAAGCCGCUUCUACCUUCAAAGUCAGGAACAAGAGGACCCUUGUGAUGACAUCGGGCCACCCAAUUGGCCCGGGAUACACUCCCUAUUUUAAGUCAGAUGAGCAGCCCUAUGUCCGUCUGCAGCCCUGACUCCCCUUUGCCACGUAGCUGCACAGGUCCAGGGACAAGGACCUGAACAGCUUUGGGGCCUUUCUGUCACUGCCCCAAAAGCCCACAAAAAUGUUUUAAUGCCGGAAGAGAUAAUUGAACUUUUAGAUAAAAAAAAAUGUCUUGAUAUAUAUUAAUAUAUUCAUUGUUAUAUCAAUGCAGUUGCAAAUUAUAAUUAAAAAAACCA
Molecule: long non-coding RNA, 535 nt
Organism: Camelus dromedarius (Arabian camel)
Lineage: Eukaryota; Metazoa; Chordata; Mammalia; Artiodactyla; Camelidae
Exons: 2
Source: RefSeq, a predicted model, not a curated record